RNAcentral lists this unclassified non-coding RNA (218 nucleotides) under Hevea brasiliensis (rubber tree). Lineage: Eukaryota; Viridiplantae; Streptophyta; Magnoliopsida; Malpighiales; Euphorbiaceae. The record is from RNAcentral.
GCGGUCAUUAAUAUCAAUAAGAAUGUCCCCAUGCUCUGAAGUGCCAAUACCAACUCCAGACUCUACUUCAGUAACAUUCUUACCAGGGUUCUCUGUUGAUGAUGAAGGCUCCGCUUGCUCUUGAGGUUCAUUUCCAUGGUUCUUAUGUGUACUUCCAUCAAUCCAGCCCGGUUCUAGUGGUCCCAUUAAAGAUUCCUCCUUGUGCUUGUCAGAAACUU